Molecule: transfer RNA, 68 nt
Filed under: Salmo salar (Atlantic salmon)
Lineage: Eukaryota; Metazoa; Chordata; Actinopteri; Salmoniformes; Salmonidae
Rfam family: tRNA
About the family: Transfer RNA (tRNA) molecules are approximately 80 nucleotides in length. Their secondary structure includes four short double-helical elements and three loops (D, anti-codon, and T loops). Further hydrogen bonds mediate the characteristic L-shaped molecular structure. tRNAs have two regions of fundamental functional importance: the anti-codon, which is responsible for specific mRNA codon recognition, and the 3' end, to which the tRNAs corresponding amino acid is attached (by aminoacyl-tRNA synthetases). tRNAs cope with the degeneracy of the genetic code in two manners: having more than one tRNA (with a specific anti-codon) for a particular amino acid; and 'wobble' base-pairing, i.e. permitting non-standard base-pairing at the 3rd anti-codon position.
Source: Rfam by way of RNAcentral
CCCUGUGGCUCAGUUGGUAGAGCAUGGUGUUUGCAACGCCAGGGUUGUGGGUUGGAUUCCCACAGGGG